AAAUCUAUUUAAAAAAAAGGAAAUAAAUCUAAUAAAAAAUGGAAAAUCCAGGACACAAGCUAGAUCAUAUGGGAUGCUGUUGGGACCACAGGCAUAAUCCAAGACUCUCCUAUGCAAACCAGAAAGGUUCUAGAGAAACAAAUGUAUGAUUAUCCCACCUUUCGAUAGUCAAGGGGAGAGAGUCGUGCAUGCAGUUAGAUAAGUGAGACUUGGGUUCCUGAUGUGUCUGUUCUGGAACACAUUAGGUAAAAUCUACACAUUUGGGAAUCAUCAGUAUGUAGAUUGUAUUGAAACCAUGAGAUUGGAUGGGGUUGCCAAUGGGAAUAAGAAAGGGGAGAGGCCCAAGGACUAUGCCUGGGCACUCCAAUCGUGGGAAAGGGGAGAAGUGGAGGGGCCAGCAACAGAGACUGGAAGUUGAAACUCAAGUUGCAGAAUGCCACUUCUUGGGUUGCACAGAGCACUCAGAAUAUUGCCUCAGGGUUUGCGCUAUGCUAGGAGAUUUUACACCCUCAUGGGACUCCUGAAGAAGAAGUCCAUAGGUCUGGGCACAGAACACAAACCCUAACGCAGGGAAGCAGGUCUGGAUCACAGACUGCUGCAUCCUAGAGGAUGACUGGCUAGUGGCUGCGGCUGGCCACCAGCCCCAUUCUCUCUCUCUCUGCACUGCUGCCACCAUGUUGUCCAGGCCGUGACUGAGCAAGGACUGAAGGACUUCUCCAGAGCUGUGGGGCUGCUUUUCAGUCUCUGCAAAAUGCAAGUAUUUGGCUGCCUUGCUCUUACCGCCAAGGGUGUAGGUCUCCUGGCCUUGCACUGUCACACCUGUGGACCCUGAGCACCAGGAGAGUCCCCAGGCUUUCUGAGGCCUGCCUGGUCAGGAGCCUGGAGAACUUAAUGAGAAAUUACCACACUUAAUGCUGCUGGUCACAAUAUGCUUCAUCUUGAGCACUGAAUUGUUCUUGCCUUGAACACUGCUCAGAAUGAAGUAAUGAGAGAAGGACAAUACUGUGUUUCUUUUUCUUUUAAUCAAAACGUCAUGUCUUGAAAAGAAUUCCCCAUUGAGAGUUGACGGUCUGCUCUUAGCUUGCUUGAUGAUGUAUUCAGAUAUGUUUGGGGAAGUCUUUCACAAGCUCAAAAUUCUUAGUCUCUCUUUGCUCAAAACAGCAAACUGACAUAAUAACAAAAGCUUAAUCUUAUUUAAUUUCUAGAUGUUCACUUCUAAUCCACAAAGAGCUCCCAAAUUAGCACUACCUGUGCCAUAUUGGGUUACUUGAUAUCCUGAAUGAGAGGAUGGAUGUUGUACAAAGCCAGAGCCUAUCACGUAAAUGAUAUGAGGCUAGUUUAAGAAAUGCCAUAUCACUAUCAUUUUUGAGGUUCCUUAGUUAAUCUAAGUACAAUAUGGGAUAAGUACCUCUAUGACUCUCUGAUUUAUAUAUUUUAGUAUAUUGGGAAUGCUAUAGAUUCUAACACUAAAAUAGAUAUACCAGAUCACAGAUUUGGAGCCCAGGCCCAAAAGGUCUUGGGGCUCUGGGUGUUGAUGUGUCAAUUUAAAUUUUGUGAGUCAAGUCUUAUUUGGGGGGCUUCUUAUAUUUAAGAACUUUGCUUAGAAUUAUUUUAAAAUGAAUAGCUACUUCCUCAUUUGCCCUCUGUUUAAGUUUGACUUUCUCUUAUCUAAGGUUUCCUUGAAGUGUGGGUCAUCUGAGUGUAUGAGAAAAUCACUUAGCAUAACAUGAUGUCCUGGACAGGAUCUCUCCUGUGAUUUUACAUCUUCUUUUGUCCUGGAAAGUUGAAGGCCCUUUAUGAUAUUCUCUAAAUGUCAAGCCUUUUGGUAAGUUUUUAAGAAAGUUGCCAUGGAGGAAGGGCAGCUCUCUUUGCUUUUGAAACUGUAGACUUUGUGGUCCAGAGUCCAAGGUUUGAAAAG
Long non-coding RNA from Lutra lutra (Eurasian river otter), 1918 nucleotides. RefSeq lists it as uncharacterized. NCBI's taxonomy places the organism in Eukaryota, Metazoa, Chordata, Mammalia, Carnivora, Mustelidae. The transcript is spliced from 4 exons. The record is from RefSeq and is a predicted model, not a curated record.